Molecule: ribosomal RNA, 492 nt
Filed under: uncultured bacterium
Lineage: Bacteria
Description: partial 16S ribosomal RNA
Rfam family: Bacterial small subunit ribosomal RNA
Source: RNAcentral
AGUGAACGCUGGCGGUAGGCCUAACACAUGCAAGUCGAACGGCAGCACAGUAAGAGCUUGCUCUUACGGGUGGCGAGUGGCGGACGGGUGAGGAAUACAUCGGAAUCUACUUUUUCGUGGGGGAUAACGUAGGGAAACUUACGCUAAUACCGCAUACGACCUACGGGUGAAAGCAGGGGAUCUUCGGACCUUGCGCGAUUGAAUGAGCCGAUGUCGGAUUAGCUAGUUGGCGGGGUAAAGGCCCACCAAGGCGACGAUCCGUAGCUGGUCUGAGAGGAUGAUCAGCCACACUGGAACUGAGACACGGUCCAGACUCCUACGGGAGGCAGCAGUGGGGAAUAUUGGACAAUGGGCGCAAGCCUGAUCCAGCCAUACCGCGUGGGUGAAGAAGGCCUUCGGGUCGUAAAGCCCUUUUGUUGGGAAAGAAAAGCAGCAGGUUAAUACCCCGCUGUUCUGACGGUGCCCAAAGAAUAAGCACCGGCUAACUUCGUG